GGUUGAUCCUGCCAGUAGUCAUAUGCUUGUCUCAAAGAUUAAGCCAUGCAUGUCUAAGUAUAAACGAAUUCAUACUGUGAAACUGCGAAUGGCUCAUUAAAUCAGUUAUAGUUUAUUUGAUGGUAUCUUGCUACAUGGAUAACUGUGGUAAUUCUAGAGCUAAUACAUGCUGAAAAGCCCCGACUUCUGGAAGGGGUGUAUUUAUUAGAUAAAAGCCAAUGGGUUUACGCCCUUUAGGUGAUUCAUGAUAACUUCUCGAAUCGCAUGGCCUUGUGCCGGCGAUGCUUCAUUC
RNAcentral lists this ribosomal RNA (292 nucleotides) under uncultured eukaryote. Its description in RNAcentral is "partial 18S ribosomal RNA". It matches the Rfam family "Eukaryotic small subunit ribosomal RNA", at positions 6 to 300 of the family's 1831-position model. The record is from RNAcentral.